GACGAAUGUUUGUGCAAAUGGAUAAUCUGUGCAGCUUUGCAGUUCGUGGGUCCAUUUGCAUAAAUAUUGUUCGCAGAAAGCAAUUAGCGGCUCAUCUACAUGCAGUGAGGUAGCAAUGUGCACUUUUUCAGAAACGACUUCUUGUGCGCAAAUGUGACGCUUUGCAAUUGGCCUUCAAAUAGAAAGGCUUUAACGCUUUUCCUGUCUGCUUUCCUGAGAUUCGGAAUUUUCCCUUUAAAAGAGAAAGUGCCACAUGAAGGGUAAAGGUUCUCCAAGCUAGCGUUCCUGGGGCACGUCCUCCUUUCCUGACUGUGCCCGAGCUUCUGCAGCUCCCUGAAGACCCGUGCAGGCCAUUUUCUUGGCCUCCAACUUGCACACCUUUAGGUGAAGCUUUCUCACGGGGGCAAUGGUGGGCCACCCCUGCACACACUGCCCUCUUCCCCCACCUUGGCUCACGCUGCAGGGAAGAAGGCUCUGCCGUGGAUCUCAGUUCUAAGAGACAGGAUCUGGUGGCCCGGGAAGACUGGGAGCCUCCACGCCCAGCCCCUACCAGGUGACCCCAGCCAGGCCUGGCCGGGUGGGCACUCUCACCGAUGACAGUGCUGUUCACGUCCCAGCUGAGGUUUCAGCCUUUCCCGCAAGGGCUGUUGCAGAGGAAUCCAGCAGAGACCUACGGGGAGGCUCCGCUGCAAUGGUGACCUCACCGUCAAGCCUUGCUCAACUUCCAAGGAAACUCCACACCGUGGAAGAGAGGUGUGACCUGCACAAGGAGAAGGAGAAGCAGGACCGAUGGGGCCAUCACAGGACCUGGAGCGAGUGUAACUGGUGUCCUCAGAGAGAAACGAGGCCGCUAGGCAGGUGCUGGCCUCACUGGAAGAGCCCACCAAGUGCCAAGCAGGAUAAACACAAAGAACCAGCACCUGCAGAUUCAUUCCUUCCACAUGGAAGAGGAAGGUGGGUCCUCGGUGACGCGGCCAAAGCUGGGUGGGCGGGGGAGGGGAACCCGAAUUAUCUAAACGGAACAAGGGUCCGAUCCACACCCGCCUUCUCAUCUGCAGUGUUGGGAGGACGUGUGAAGACUGCAAAAGCUUCCCAGUUUUGAGAUAAAUUCCUUGGACAAUCCACUAUUUAUAUGCAGAUAGAAAAUAAAACUGGCCAGGUGGGGGCGGCUCACACCUGGAAUCCCAGCACUUUGGGAGGCUGAGGCAGGUGGAUCACCUGAGGUCAGGAGUUGUAGACCAGCUUGGCCAACAUGGCAAAAUCCUGUCUCUACUAAAAUACAAAAAUCAGCCAGGCGUGGUGGAAGGCACCUGUGAUCCCAGUUACUCAGGAGGCUGAGGCAGGAGAAUCGCUUGAACCCAGGAGGUGGAAGUUGCAGUGAGCCAAGAUCACACCACUGUGACACAGUGAGACUCUAUCUAAAAAAAAAAAAAAGAAAAAUGAAAAGAAAACCACUUAGCUCCCAUAGUCCUGACUUUCUGAAGGAAUUGCUGGAAGAUGUGCUCUGGCAAGAGGCAAAGGGCACCUGGGAGCUGAGGCCGACCCUGGCCGUCGUUACUGAGGCCGCUCAGGUGCUCUGCCGUGUGCUGCACAUGAAUUAUCUCAUGAAUCCUCUUGAUGCCGUGAGCCUGGUGCUGCUAGUCACGUUUCACAGGCGAGGAAAUAAAAGUACAAUAAUGUUAGUGUGUUGUUAAGUUCAAGUAGGUAUUGAUGAUUAAAAAUGAUAACAAUUGGCCGGGCGUGGUGGCUCCCGCCUGUAAUCCCAGCACUUUGGGAGGCCAAGGUGGGUGGAUCACCUGAGUUCAGAAGUUCGAGACCAGCCCGACCAACACGGUGAAACUCCGUCUCUACUAAAAAUACAAACAUUAGCUGGGCGUGGUGGUGCUCACCUGUAAUCCCAGGUACUUGGGAGGCAGAGGCAGAAGAAUCACUUGAACCCGGGAGGCAGAGGCUGCAGUGAGCCAAGAUUGCACUCCAGCCUGAGUGACAUGGCGAGACGCCAUCUCAAAGAAAAAAAAAAAAAAAAAAGAGAAAUGAGAGUCAUAAAAUGAAAUAUAUAAUGAAAAGAAUAUAUAAAGCAAAAAAAGAAAAUUACUAAUCCCUAGUCAUGGUGGGAGACCUACCUCAGAACUGAAGAAUUUAAUAGUUAUAAGUAAAUACAAGCAAUUAAAGCUUAAUCUAAUAGACACAUAGAAAUACAUAUUCGACAAAUAAAAAAUAUUUCCUAACACAGCAAGAACAUUAAAGACUGUGUACUAGAUGACCAGGAGAAUUUGAUAACCUAAAAAUUAACCUGUAAGGCCGACUUCAGUGACAAGCAAUGAAAUCAGAAAUCAGUGGCAGAAAGAAAGUCCUUCAAAAUGAGCGCAGCGGGAGAUACACCGAUAAUUAUUUCAGCAGGUGUUAAAUUAAAGACAGAAACUGUCAACCGUCUGCAGCCCAAUGGCCAUGAUAACUCCUCACGUCAAAACUUAAGGCAUUGGCUGAAGUGUCACCACCUGUACAGACGCAAACGGAUUCGUUGAAGUGGAAUAUGAAUAGGUCAAGAUUUCAAACCGAAGAAGCUGGAAAAGCAACAGAAUAAGCUCAGAGGAACAAUGUGCUCAUCCCGAGGAGCAUGAUAAUCAUAAAGACGGCCACAGAAUCACAGAAGGAAGGCUCGGAGGCCACUGCUGACCAUGCCCUUCCCUGCACUGUCCAGAGGGAGGCAGCCCCCGUUUUGGACAUCAAGUGCUUGUAGCCACCUGGGCAGCUUGAGCUCCUUCUCAUGAGAUCAUCUCAUUCCCCGUCUGAUUGCAUGCUCUCCAAGAUGACUUCUAAUGGUGCCUUCUCAGCAAAGGCACUUUGAGUGGGGAUGUUGGGAUUCUGGUCCUGUAAACACUCACUUCUCAGGUUAAAUCAGCACAACAUUCUGCUUCCCUGUAUCAGCGCUCAUCUCACAUGACCUCGCCAGAAUCAGCCUGCUGGUAUUUUCCAAAGUAUGGCCAUAAGGAUUUGUUAAUAUUCUUCACCCUCAUCUCCCUACUGACCAAUCCACCUGCCCACCUACUCACAUAGUCACCAAUGCGUGAGUAAUAAAUCAAUGCAUUUACUUAUUCUUUAUCCUCCCUACCACCCUCCCAUCUAUCCACGCACCCAAACAUCUACCCACCCACCACCCAUCCAUUCAUCCAUCCACCCACCCACUCAGCUAUUUAUCCACCCAUAUGUUCACCCAUGCCACCAUCCAUCCAUCCUCCCUAACAUCCAACCACCCAUCCACCCACCCAAACGUCUAUCCACCCACUCAUCCAUUCAUCCAUCCACCCACCCCUUCAUCCACCCACUCGCUCACUCAUCCACCUACCCAUCCACCUACCCACUCACU
Molecule: long non-coding RNA, 3367 nt
Organism: Callithrix jacchus (white-tufted-ear marmoset)
Lineage: Eukaryota; Metazoa; Chordata; Mammalia; Primates; Cebidae
Source: Ensembl